UUUUUUGAUGUUAAAWAUAUUUUCCYGGGUAGUAUUAGUUAUGUUCUUGAAACCUAAAGAAUUUGGCGGUAUUUUAUUCCUUUCAGAGGAAUCUGCCCUUUAAUCGAUGAUCCGCGUUGGACCUUACUUAUUUUUUUUUAUUUGUAUACCGCCGUUAUAGUGAAGAUCUUUUUAGUGUUUUAAUUUUCUUGUUUCGUUAAUUUGAUUUAUUUCAGGUCAAGGUGCAGUUUGUUUUUAAGUGUGAGGUGGAUUACAUUAUAUUUAUGAUUUUGGAUUAUCAGUUGAAAUUUUUGAUAUGAAAUUGGAUUUGAUUGUAAUUUAUUGUAGAUUGUUUUUAARAWAKKGGUUCNAAAAURKSY
RNAcentral lists this ribosomal RNA (359 nucleotides) under Postelectrotermes howa. RNAcentral's name for it is "partial 12S ribosomal RNA". The record is from RNAcentral. Lineage: Eukaryota; Metazoa; Arthropoda; Insecta; Blattodea; Kalotermitidae.